CAUGCAAGUCGAGCGGAUCUUCAUUAGCUUGCUUUUGAAGAUCAGCGGCGGACGGGUGAGUAACACGUGGGCAACCUGCCUGUAAGACUGGGAUAACUUCGGGAACCGGAGCUAAUACCGGAUAAUCCUUUCCCUCACAUGAGGGAAAGCUGAAAGACGGUUUCGGCUGUCACUUACAGAUGGGCCCGCGGCGCAUUAGCUAGUUGGUGAGGUAACGGCUCACCAAGGCAACGAUGCGUAGCCGACCUGAGAGGGUGAUCGGCCACACUGGGACUGAGACACGGCCCAGACUCCUACGGGAGGCAGCAGUAGGGAAUCUUCCGCAAUGGACGAAAGUCUGACGGAGCAACGCCGCGUGAGCGAUGAAGGCCUUCGGGUCGUAAAGCUCUGUUGUCAGGGAAGAACAAGUACCGGAGUAACUGCCGGUACCUUGACGGUACCUGACCAGAAAGCCACGGCUAACUACGUGCCAGCAGCCGCGGUAAUACGUAGGUGGCAAGCGUUGUCCGGAAUUAUUGGGCGUAAAGCGCGCGCAGGCGGUUCCUUAAGUCUGAUGUGAAAGCCCCCGGCUCAACCGGGGAGGGUCAUUGGAAACUGGGGAACUUGUAGUGCAGAAGAGGAGAGCGGAAUUCCACGUGUAGCGGUGAAAUGCGUAGAAAUGUGGAGGAACACCAGUGGCGAAGGCGGCUCUCUGGUCUGUAACUGACGCUGAGGCGCGAAAGCGUGGGGAGCG
This 733-nucleotide ribosomal RNA is filed under the name Bacillus sp. JC25. RNAcentral's name for it is "bacterial SSU rRNA". It matches the Rfam family "Bacterial small subunit ribosomal RNA", at positions 54 to 770 of the family's 1533-position model. The record is from RNAcentral. Lineage: Bacteria; Bacillati; Bacillota; Bacilli; Caryophanales; Bacillaceae.